RNAcentral lists this ribosomal RNA (460 nucleotides) under uncultured bacterium. RNAcentral describes it as "partial 16S ribosomal RNA". It matches the Rfam family "Bacterial small subunit ribosomal RNA", at positions 338 to 795 of the family's 1533-position model. The record is from RNAcentral.
CCUACGGGUGGCAGCAGUGAGGAAUAUUGGUCAAUGGACGAGAGUCUGAACCAGCCAAGUAGCGUGAAGGAUGACUGCCCUAUGGGUUGUAAACUUCUUUUAUAAAGGAAUAAAACGAGGCACGUGUGCCUUUUUGCAUGUACUUUAUGAAUAAGGAUCGGCUAACUCCGUGCCAGCAGCCGCGGUAAUACGGAGGAUCCGAGCGUUAUCCGGCUUUAUUGGGUUUAAAGGGAGCGUAGAUGGGUUGUUAAGUCAGUUGUGAAAGUUUGCGGCUCAACCGUAAAAUUGCAAUUGAUACUGGCAGUCGUGAGUACAGUUGAGGUAGGCGGAAUUCGUGGUGUAGCGGUGAAAUGCUUAGAUAUCACGAAGAACCCCGAUUGCGAAGGCAGCUUACUAAACUGUGACUGACAUUGAUGCUCGAAAGUGUGGGUAUCAAACAGGAUUAGAUACCCUUGUAGUC